RNAcentral lists this small RNA (883 nucleotides) under Pan troglodytes (chimpanzee). RNAcentral's name for it is "retained intron". Lineage: Eukaryota; Metazoa; Chordata; Mammalia; Primates; Hominidae. The record is from RNAcentral.
AAGUAAAAUUUCAUUCUGAUUUUUAGUAUGUCAGUAGUGUAACUUUCUGUGGUUGGCCCUUUUGCUUCCUUCCUUGGUGUACUAUUUCAUAUGUUCAUGAAUCUGACCUUUCUUUCAGUUCAGAGUGAAGAAAUUCAACUCUGAGAUAAUUUUUAAAUGUUUAAAUUUAUAUAUUUUUUCUUUUUUUAAUUGAAAUAUGAAUCUGAUUCAUGUUUUUUCUUUUUACAAUCAGUUUCCAGAGGAGACAGAACUGGACCUUUUGUCAGUAACCAUUGAAGGUCCAUCCCAUUAUUCAUCAAAUAGUGAAGGAUCAUGUUCUGUGUUCAGUUCUCCCAAAACUCCAGGAGGCUUUUCACCAGGCAUUCCUUUCCAAACUGAAGAGGGCCGACGGGAUGACAGUUUGUCUUCUACCAGUGAAGAUUCCGAGAAGGAUGAAAAAGAUGAAGACCAUGAGAGGGAAAGGUUUUAUAUUUACAGGAAACCCUCACAUACAUCUCGUAAAAAAGCAACAGGCUUUGCUGCUGUUCAUCAGCUAUUUACAGAACGCUGGCCAACAACACCAGUCAAUAGAAGUCUUAGUGGCACAGCUACAGAGAGAAAUAUUGACUUUGAACUUGAUAUACGGGUUGAAAUUGAUAGUGGAAAAUGUGUACUCCACCCAACCACCCUUCUACAAGAACAUGAUGAUAUAAGUUUGAGAAGGAGUUAUGAUCGAAGUUCCAGGAGCUUAGAUCAAGAUUCACCUUCAAAAAAGAAGAAGUUUCAAACUAAUUAUGCUUCUACCACCCAUUUAAUGACCGGCAAGAAAGUGCCAUCAUCUCUACAGACAAAGCCUAGUGACUUGGAAACAACAGUAUUUUACAUUCCCGGAGUUGAUGUAAAG